This 272-nucleotide long non-coding RNA is filed under the name Elaeis guineensis (African oil palm). RNAcentral's name for it is "long non-coding RNA (EGUI_LNC037941)". The record is from RNAcentral. Lineage: Eukaryota; Viridiplantae; Streptophyta; Magnoliopsida; Arecales; Arecaceae.
GUUUGCUCUAAUUUUCUCAGAUGGAGACUAUUCAUACUAAGUAAGAUUAAGUUUUGUAAUGACAUCUUAUCCAUUGCAUAGUACAAGCACCCUAAAAUUUAUAUUUUUUAUUUAUAAUUUUUUAAAAAAUUAAGUUUUGUGGAGGAUAUUAGAGGAAAUUCAAAAAGCAUUUAAACCCAAUCUUUUAAUUUUACCAUUUAAAUGCUUUAAUCUCUUCAUUACCGUAAUUUAAUUUCUAAUUAUUGGGUUCCUAAUUAUAGACCUUAAUGGAU